Long non-coding RNA from Odocoileus virginianus texanus, 262 nucleotides. RefSeq lists it as uncharacterized. The record is from RefSeq and is a predicted model, not a curated record. Lineage: Eukaryota; Metazoa; Chordata; Mammalia; Artiodactyla; Cervidae.
CUGCGCAGGAGGCCACGCCUGGGGGUCCACACUCGGAGCUCAGGCUCUUGGAGCCGCGGGGCUGAGACAGGACCAGCCUCCGGAGGUCGGCCGGUGGCUGUGAACUCGGGUGCCACGUCUUCAUGCCUGUUACAUGGGGGCUCCACUUCUGCCAGCUUGGACUGGCAUCCUCUGAGGCACAGGAGCCGGAAAUGUCUGCAGAGACGACAGGAGCGGCGGGCCCGGGCCCCUCCGCAGACCCGCUGAGGCUCCGGGCUGAGCC